RNAcentral lists this non-coding RNA (133 nucleotides) under unclassified sequences. The record is from RNAcentral.
AUACUGAAAUGCAUGGUGGGAAAUCGAUGCGAAAUUCAUCGGCUGAGCCUGCAACCGUUAAAGUCGGAGCGCCACCCAGUAUAGUCCGUUGUUGAACGAGGGCCAGGGAAAGUCUAGUUCUACUAAUGUUUAU